AGUGAACGCUGGCGGUAGGCCUAACACAUGCAAGUCGAACGGCAGCACAGUAAGAGCUUGCUCUUACGGGUGGCGAGUGGCGGACGGGUGAGGAAUACAUCGGAAUCUACUUUUUCGUGGGGGAUAACGUAGGGAAACUUACGCUAAUACCGCAUACGACCUACGGGUGAAAGCAGGGGAUCUUCGGACCUUGCGCGAUUGAAUGAGCCGAUGUCGGAUUAGCUAGUUGGCGGGGUAGAGGCCCACCAAGGCGACGAUCCGUAGCUGGCCUGAGAGGAUGAUCAGCCACACUGGAACUGAGACACGGUCCAGACUCCUACGGGAGGCAGCAGUGGGGAAUAUUGGACAAUGGGCGCAAGCCUGAUCCAGCCAUACCGCGUGGGUGAAGAAGGCCUUCGGGUUGUAAAGCCCUUUUGUUGGGAAAGAAAAGCAGCAGGUUAAUACCCCGCUGUUCUGACGGUACCCAAAGAAUAAGCACCGGCUAACUUCGUG
Molecule: ribosomal RNA, 492 nt
Filed under: uncultured bacterium
Lineage: Bacteria
Description: partial 16S ribosomal RNA
Rfam family: Bacterial small subunit ribosomal RNA
Source: RNAcentral